CCAAAACACCCUCCACAUGUAAAGCCACCUUUCCACCCCAAACCACCGCAUCACAAGCCACCCCAUGUCAAACCACCGCACAAGCCCCCGUAUGUUCCUAAACCACCUUAUUCCCCAAGCCCUAAACCGCCUUACGUGCCAAAACCACCUCAUACUCCAGUCCCUAGGCCACCAUAUUUCCCCAAACCACCUUACACACCAAGGCCUAAGCCACCAUAUGCGCCAAAACCACCUUAUACGCCAACCCCUAAGCCACCAUAUUUCCCCAAACCACCUUACACACCAAGGCCGAAGCCACCAUAUGUGCCAAAACCACCUUAUACGCCAGCCCCUAAGCCACCAUAUUUUCCCAAACCACCUUACACACCAAGGCCUAAGCCACCAUAUGCACCAAAACCACCUUAUACGCCAACACCUAAGCCACCAUAUUUCCCCAAACCACCUUACACACCAAGGCCUAAGCCACCGUACGUGCCAAAACCACCGUACACACCAAGGCCUAAGCCACCGUACGUGCCAAAACCACCAUACACACCAACCCCUAAGCCACCGUACGUGCCAAAACCACCUUACACCCCAACCCCUAAGCCACCGUACGUGCCAAAACCACCGUAUACCCCAACUCCUAAGCCACCGUACGUCCCAUCGCCACCUUAUACCCCUCGCCCUAAACCACCGUAUGUACCAUCACCACCUUAUACCCCUAGCCCUAAACCACCGUAUGUGCCAUCACCACCAUAUACCCCAAGCCCUACCCCACCAUAUGUACCAUCACCACCGUAUACCCCAAGCCCACCAUAUGUACCAUCACCACCGUAUACCCCAAGCCCUAGCCCACCACCACCACCAAGUGGAACACCGUGUCCUCCGCCGCCGCCACCAAAGGUGAGACCGUACCCUCCACCACCAUCACAAACUUGUCCCAUUGAUACUCUCAAGCUUGGUGCAUGCGUCGACGUGUUGGGCGGUCUAAUACACAUCGGUAUAGGCAGCAGUGCAAAGGACGCUUGCUGCCCCGUGCUGCAGGGGCUACUGGACUUGGAUG
This 1045-nucleotide long non-coding RNA is filed under the name Citrus maxima (pomelo). RNAcentral describes it as "long non-coding RNA (CMAX_LNC002831)". Lineage: Eukaryota; Viridiplantae; Streptophyta; Magnoliopsida; Sapindales; Rutaceae. The record is from RNAcentral.